CGCAACCAAUCAGUAGUUUGAUACUGCUCGGAAGACAAGGGAGCAUAGCAAACUCACGUUGGCUCUUCGAAAAAGAAACACAACGUACCACAAUGUCACUAACAGUUUUGAAAUCAGCAUUUAGACUGAAGACAAUCUACAGAUUGCAAAGGAUACAAGGUCAUAUGAUGUCCAGUCAUGCUGGAGCUGAGGUUCUCUCUGAGA
Long non-coding RNA from Clupea harengus (Atlantic herring), 204 nucleotides. RefSeq lists it as uncharacterized. The transcript has 3 exons. The record is from RefSeq and is a predicted model, not a curated record. Lineage: Eukaryota; Metazoa; Chordata; Actinopteri; Clupeiformes; Clupeidae.